AUCGUCACGGGGCGAAGCCGUGGUUUCCAGACUCGGUUUACAAUGAUCAAUGGAGCUAUGGAAACAGCAGACACCGCGCUGGAGCCUGCUGGCCUUCCAUCUGGAGCUUCACAGGCACUGAAGGCUGCAGCAGCCGGAGUGUCAUUUGAAGAAGAAGGAUGACUAGUAUGAGCCAGAUGAGACCUCGGAGUGAGCAGGAGUUACAGAGGCCAUUCAUCCCAGGAACAGGAUAUAUGUCCAGGAGUGGAAUUGCUGGACAUACAGUGGCUCUAUUUUUAGGUUUUUGAGAAACCACCAUAUUGUUUCCAUAGUGGCUGCACCAAUUUACAUUCCCACCAACAGUAUACAAGGGUUCCCUUUUCUCCACAUCCUUACCAACAUUUGUUAUUUGUGUUCUUUUUGAUGCUGGCCAUUCUGACAGGUGUGAGAUAAUAUCCCUUUGUGAUUUUGAUUGCAUUUCCCUGAUAUUAGUGAUGCUGAGCAACUUUUCAUGUCCCUGUUGGCCAACUGCAUUUCUUCCGGAAAAAAAUGUCUGUUCAAUUCUUCUGCCCAUAUUUUAAAUGGGUUGUUUAUUUGUUUCUUUGCUUAACUGAAGUACAGUUGAUUUAAAAUGUUAAAAAAUAAAAAGUCUCAUGGAUGAAUAAUAACUGGGGUGUGAGAUGGGCUAAAGGAAGAACCACAAGGCAAGAGGUCCAGAAUCUUAAGUUCCAUUCCAGUACUAACCAGCUAUGUAACCUCAUGAAAGUCCAUGCUUCAGUUCCCUCUUUCUCAUCUGUAAAAUAAGAAUAAUAACCUCUAUCCUGCCUCUCGUGUAGAACUAUGUAGAGCGAUUGUAAGGAUAAAAUAAAAUAUUUUUUCUGUAAUAACCUAAUCAUGGAAAAGAAUCUGAAAAAGAAUAGAUAUAGACAUAUAUACGUACUUAUGUAUAACUGAAUCACUCUACUGCACAGCUGAAUCUGACACAACAUUGUAAAUCAACUAUACCUCAAUAAAAAAAAAUUUUUUUUCCCUUGGGACACUGAAGUCCAAAGUCCUAGUUGUAUAACACCAUCUCUCAACCAUCUAUAAUGAACUAUUAAACAGUUUUUAUGGGUGUGUAGAAGCACUUCAAAAGUUAAAAGUCUAUGCAGAUAGAAAGUACUAUUUUUGUCUACUGUUGACAUGCAAACACAUAUGCCAUGCAACACUCUAAACACAAAGACAAUUUAAAAACCUCAGGUAUAUAGAAUUGGAUUCAUUAUAAUCCUUGAUUCAUGACAUUCCCUCGUCAUUGAAUCAUUGGACCAUGUAUCUCUGCCUUUACUUAGUUAGCUAUUAGUUAUUUUUAAUAAUGCAGUAGGCACCUGCAAAUCCACUGCCCAAAAUAAAAAUUAGGACUCUGACAAUAGCAGACCCCUAACUAGGUGGUUCCUCCAUCCGUCCCUGCCCCACUUCUGUUUUCUCAGAAACAAGAUAACCAUUAUCCUGAGUCAUACAUUCAUCAUUCCCUUGCUUUCCUUUUGUGUAAUUUUAUUUCAUAAGGACACAUUAAAGGUAUAGGUAUCUGACUUUCAUAAAAGGUGAAGCUCUUGUCUUAAAAGGGAAAUGGGUCAGGGUGACAUUAUUAGCAAGAUGGGAUUAAAAUAAGAAAACAUCUUUUCAUAGUUUCAGAGUAUUCCCCCACCACCUCAUGAUGAUAAUGACAAAGAUGAAGAUAAUUACUGAGUGCUUACUCUGUGCCCAACACUGUGCUCAGCCCUUCAUUGUCUCUUUUAAAUCUCAUAUGGAUCUGUGAUAGAGUUUGCUAGUUGUUUUGGCCAAUAUCCACUUCCCCUUCUUUGAUAGUAAAGAAUCUCCAAUGUUCACAUGACUACCUGGAAUAAAAACUACAUUUCUCAGCCCUGGUUACAGCUGGUUGUGUUCAUGACUUGUAAAUGAAGCUGUUAAGGGAAGAGGUAGAUCCUCUCCUCUUCUCUCUCUUUUCUUCUCCUUUCUGGUGGUUGGAAUAAAAAUGUAAUGGCUGGAGCUGGAGCAUCCAUCUUGUCUCAUGAAGUGACAAUGACAGAGCAAAAGGAUAGAAGGAGCCUAUGUCCUUCCAUCAAUGGAUCAUGGAUUCAUCAAAUCAGCUGUAAACAACUUACCCAGACUUUUAUACGAAACAGAAAGAAAUGUCCUUCCUAUUACAGUAACUGCUGUUCUAAGUUUUCUAUUACUCAUAGCCAAACCCCAUCCUAACUAUUACGUCACUCUAUGAGGCUUCCCCCACCCUGCCUUCACACAAUCAGAAGUUAUGAAAGCUAUACCAUCGUAGAGAUGAAAAGGACCAAUAGAAAUCACCUGAUCUGUCAACUUCCUCAAAAGACCACACCUGCAUUUGACAAGUUGAGUUUCCAGGGGCCUUGGUGCUGCAAAUGGAUUUGUCACCGUGGGGUAAUGACAUUGCCCUAUGCCUUGUUUUCCAACUACCGUUUAUCCAGAAUCAAUUCCUGAGAAAGACAAAGGAUGUGAAUAAUCAGCCGAGCAGAUGGAACGUCAGGCAGCCAGUCCAGAAGAGAAAACACAGCUCCCCUGAAAGGAGAGAGAAGAAGGCAUUUGACCUUGGGGAAGUCUGGCGGGGGCACAAAACAGACUUCAGAGAAAGGCUGGGGCUUGGACCUGGCCUCCACAGAUAAGGUGUGUGGAGAGGAACCAAUUAAUCACUGGAUGUGGCCUUUAACAUCUUCUGACUACCGUGGGAAGCUCUCUCGAGGAAAUGGGGAAGGAAGUUGUAAGGAAGGACCCUGAGGAUAUCACAUGAAGGAGGAAGCAUGAGCAUUGGAAUAAGGUUGAAAUCACAAGUCCUGGAAACUAGUUAUCUAAAGACACUCGUUCUAACACACACACACACAUAUACACACACACAGGACGUUGACAGAGCCUGUGGCAAGGCCACAGUUUUCUUUGGCUGGCCUCUUUGCCUUUAGGUCUGGCUGAGAAGAUGGGCAUUUAUCAUUGGGCAUUUUCAUCAGUUUCAUUUCCUGUUUCUCAUGCUGAAAACACAAUAAUCAUCAUAAUGAUAAUAAUCGUUCCUCAGGCUCGCUUCUGCCUCCUGUUUAUCUAGGGCCUCCCAGAAGUGUGUGUACUCUAUCAAUUAACAGCUGGGGGUGGAGGCAGGCAUGGAGGGGAGGGGAGA
Molecule: long non-coding RNA, 3151 nt
Organism: Camelus dromedarius (Arabian camel)
Lineage: Eukaryota; Metazoa; Chordata; Mammalia; Artiodactyla; Camelidae
Exons: 6
Source: RefSeq, a predicted model, not a curated record